GGUAGUGGGGGAUGACGUGCGGAAACGGACGCUAAUACCGCACACGUCCUACGGGAGAAAGCAGGGGACCUUCGGGCCUUGCGCUAUCAGAUGAGCCUAGGUCGGAUUAGCUAGUUGGUGAGGUAAUGGCUCACCAAGGCGACGAUCCGUAACUGGUCUGAGAGGAUGAUCAGUCACACUGGAACUGAGACACGGUCCAGACUCCUACGGGAGGCAGCAGUGGGGAAUAUUGGACAAUGGGCGAAAGCCUGAUCCAGCCAUGCCGCGUGUGUGAAGAAGGUCUUCGGAUUGUAAAGCACUUUAAGUUGGGAGGAAGGGUUGUAGAUUAAUACUCUGCAAUUUUGACGUUACCGACAGAAUAAGCACCGGCUAACUCUGUGCCAGCAGCCGCGGUAAUACAGAGGGUGCAAGCGUUAAUCGGAAUUACUGGGCGUAAAGCGCGCGUAGGUGGUUUGUUAAGUUGGAUGUGAAAUCCCCGGGCUCAACCUGGGAACUGCAUUCAAAACUGACUGAC
This 514-nucleotide ribosomal RNA is filed under the name uncultured bacterium. RNAcentral describes it as "bacterial SSU rRNA". It matches the Rfam family "Bacterial small subunit ribosomal RNA", at positions 132 to 641 of the family's 1533-position model. The record is from RNAcentral.